RNAcentral lists this ribosomal RNA (492 nucleotides) under uncultured bacterium. RNAcentral describes it as "partial 16S ribosomal RNA". It matches the Rfam family "Bacterial small subunit ribosomal RNA", at positions 29 to 507 of the family's 1533-position model. The record is from RNAcentral.
AGUGAACGCUGGCGGUAGGCCUAACACAUGCAAGUCGAACGGCAGCACAGUAAGAGCUUGCUCUUACGGGUGGCGAGUGGUGGACGGGUGAGGAAUACAUCGGAAUCUACUUUUUCGUGGGGGAUAACGUAGGGAAACUUACGCCAAUACCGCAUACGACCUACGGGUGAAAGCAGGGGACCUUCGGACCUCGCGCGAUUGAAUGAGCCGAUGUCGGAUUAGCUAGUUGGCGGGGUAAAGGCCCACCAAGGCGACGAUCCGUAGCUGGUCUGAGAGGAUGAUCAGCCACACUGGAACUGAGACACGGUCCAGACUCCUACGGGAGGCAGCAGUGGGGAAUAUUGGACAAUGGGCGCAAGCCUGAUCCAGCCAUACCGCGUGUGUGAAGAAGGCCUUCGGGUUGUAAAGCCCUUUUGUUUGGAAAGAAAAGCAGCAGGUUAAUACCCCGCUGUUCUGACGGUACCCAAAGAAUAAGCACCGGCUAACUUCGUG